UAUUCCCCAUUUGCUCCCUUGGUUCAGGAAAAGAGAUUGAGGGAUGAGAGUGGAGAGGAGAAGACGUUGAAGGGAAGCUACUCUGCAAAUUACCAUCCAUUCCCAUGCCUCUUUCUUUUGGAUUUGAGGUGACAUUCUUCAAUCUAUAUCCAUUGCAGCAACAGA
This is a long non-coding RNA of Macadamia integrifolia, 165 nucleotides long. RefSeq lists it as uncharacterized. The transcript is spliced from 2 exons. NCBI's taxonomy places the organism in Eukaryota, Viridiplantae, Streptophyta, Magnoliopsida, Proteales, Proteaceae. The record is from RefSeq and is a predicted model, not a curated record.